RNAcentral lists this transfer RNA (73 nucleotides) under bacterium. RNAcentral describes it as "tRNA-Thr". It matches the Rfam family "tRNA". Rfam says of the family: Transfer RNA (tRNA) molecules are approximately 80 nucleotides in length. Their secondary structure includes four short double-helical elements and three loops (D, anti-codon, and T loops). The record is from RNAcentral.
GCCUGGGUAGCUCAGUUGGUAGAGCACGUCUUUGGUAAAGACGAGGCCGGCGGUUCAAUCCCGCCCUCAGGCU